RNAcentral lists this ribosomal RNA (439 nucleotides) under uncultured bacterium. RNAcentral describes it as "partial 16S ribosomal RNA". It matches the Rfam family "Bacterial small subunit ribosomal RNA", at positions 338 to 794 of the family's 1533-position model. The record is from RNAcentral.
CCUACGGGUGGCAGCAGUGGGGGAUAUUGCACAAUGGGGGAAACCCUGAUGCAGCGACGCCGCGUGUGGGAAGACGGUCCUCUGGAUUGUAAACCACUGUCCCCAGGGACGAAGAUGACGGUACCUGGGGAUGAAGCUCCGGCUAACUACGUGCCAGCAGCCGAGGUAAUACGUAGGGAGCGAGCGUGGUCCGGAAUGACUGGGUGUAAAGGGAGCGUAGGCGGGGAUGCAAGUUGGGUGUCAAAACUACAGGGUCAACUGGUAGUCGCACGCACAACUGCAGCUCUUGAGUGAAGUAGAGGCAGGCGGACUUCCUAGUGUAGCGGUGUAAUGCGUAGAUAUUAGGAGGAACACCAGUGGCGAAGGCGGCCUGCUGGGCGUUUACUGACGCUGAGGCUCGAAAGUGUGGGGAGCAAACAGGAUUAGAUACCCCAGUAGU